This 1211-nucleotide unclassified non-coding RNA is filed under the name Leishmania donovani. RNAcentral's name for it is "gene:LdHU3.18.0780(CDS-product:hypothetical_prote in_conserved)". The record is from RNAcentral. Lineage: Eukaryota; Euglenozoa; Kinetoplastea; Trypanosomatida; Trypanosomatidae.
CGGUGUUCCACGGCAUUACAGUUGUUUCGCAUUCGACCUGCAUCUCCUACUGCAGAGCUCUUGUUUUUGACCGGCUGCCUGCUGCCCGCGCUCCUCCCAUGGCCUCCCCGGUCGUCUUCACCAGGACCUUUUCAUAUAUCUUUUCGGCUCUCCGUGUUGCUGUUAAUCGUCUUUCUUUGUUUUCGUACUGUGUGCUGCAUGUCGUGUGGUCUCGCCUUCUCAUGUCCUCCUACCAAGCCGUCGCCGCUCCGCCCUGUUGAAUGCCCUCGGCGCUUUUCUCGCUCUGUGCUGUCCAUCGUUCUUCUCCGGACGUUUGAUUGUCUGAAGACAAGCGCAGGCGAGCGCGAGAAGCAUCAAGGCGGCUGUUCGCCUCGUGGCGUGGGGAAGGUGGCCAGAAGGAGAGGGGCCCACGAGCGAGCCGCGACCGCGUGGGGACUGAUAGAAAUGCAACGAUGCCUACUCACGAAAAGUUGAGAAGGGCGUAGUCGCAGGUUCCGCGUGGUCGCCGGUGAAGCGCAACAGCACGCACGUGCCCACAUGAACACAAUGUAGAGAGGAAAGAGGACGCAGAGACUCCGAGGGACGUGGAUUUGGUGGCGGGUGAUGGAGGCGCAGCGGUUGCUUGAUUGCUGUUCCCGACGGAGAGAAUGCGUGUCUGCUUUUAUCUUGUGUGUGUGUGUGCGCGGAUGUGUGGUCGACUCACAAGCUCGGUGCCUUGUUGCAGUUUUGUUUUACCUGUCGAUCUGAUCGCGUGUGUGUGCGUGAUGGGUUCGACCUCAUUCAUGCAGAAAGGGGCACCAGGCACACAGGCAGACAGACCCGGAGAGGGGCAUGUGAAUCGGGAUGGCAGUCGGAGAGGAAGACGGCCAUAGAUGGAGAAGCCGAAAGGAAACUUGAGACGCACGUGUGUAUCCGUGACCGCUCGCGCGCGCAGAGAAGCAAAGCACUCCAUUUCAGCGUAUGCUGUCGUGUGGCGGUCGUGCCGGGCGCAGUCCACCAAUGGUCUCGAUCGCUGUCAUUUUGGUUCUCCGCACAUGCGCCGCUUUCUGCACUUCCACUCACCUCCCUCCCUCGUGCACCUCUCUCUCUCUCUGUGUCGUACAUAAUUAAUGAUCUCAAGUCGACAGGAGGGGGCCCACGAGGGCGUUGGUGUGGUUCAGGGGGUGGGCGGCGGAAUGUGAGGCGUGUGGGCUUCGUUGUGUAUCGACAGC